This 448-nucleotide ribosomal RNA is filed under the name uncultured bacterium. Its description in RNAcentral is "bacterial SSU rRNA". It matches the Rfam family "Bacterial small subunit ribosomal RNA", at positions 70 to 507 of the family's 1533-position model. The record is from RNAcentral.
CACAGCAGAGCUUGCUCUGUGGGUGGCGAGUGGCGACGGGUGAGGAAUACGUGGGAAUCUGCCCAGUCGUGGGGAUAACGUAGGGAAACUUACGCUAAUACCGCAUGCGCCCUUUCGGGGGAAAAGCCCGGGGGAACCUUCGGGCCUGGCGCGAUUGGAUGAGCCCACGUCGGAUUAGCUAGUUGGCGGGUAAAGGCCCACCAAGGCGACGAUCCGUAGCUGGUCUGAGAGGAUGAUCAGCCACACUGGAACUGAGACACGGUCCAGACUCCUACGGGAGGCUGCAGUAGGGAAUAUUUGGACAAUGGGCGCAAGCCUGAUCCAGCCAUGCCGCGUGAGUGAAGAAGGCCCUCGGGUUGUAAAGCUCUUUUGUCCGGAAAGAAAAGCGCCGGGUUAAUACCCUGGUGUCCUGACGGUACCGGAAGAAUAAGCACCGGCUAACUUCGUG